RNAcentral lists this unclassified non-coding RNA (158 nucleotides) under Pseudaleuria fibrillosa. RNAcentral describes it as "partial internal transcribed spacer 2". The record is from RNAcentral. Lineage: Eukaryota; Fungi; Ascomycota; Pezizomycetes; Pezizales; Pyronemataceae.
AAAACCACUCAAGCUCUUUUGCUUGGUCAUGGAAGAUGAGUGUCUUUGUGCUCUCACUUCCGAAAUUCAAUGGCGGAAAGCCCCAUGUGCCCCGGCGUAGUAAGUUUUCUUUCGCUUGGACUGUGAGGUGAUCCUGCCACAAACCCCCAAUUUUUCUA